UACUAUUUUUAUUGGGUUUCGAAAAAUAAAAUAUAAGUCUAUAAUGACUUUUGUUGAAAUCGGAAUGAAAACAGAAGAUUUAUAAUUUUCUGUUGAAAACGGGGCGGAUAAAUUAGCAGAAAAUGCAUAGUGUCAGAAAAUUAUGAAAAUUGGAGGAUAAGUCAGAAAUAUUUUUAUGAGGCUAGAUUUAAAGUUUCAUAUUUUUCUGACACCCGAAAGUUGAGAAAUAAAAUCCGAAAUCUAUCUGAUAAAGAUUAUAGUUUGGUAUAGUUUUCGGUGACCAAACGGGGUCGAAACUGAAAACUUAAAGUAUAUUCUUGUUCAGUACAUUAAACCGAAUAUGACUGUCAAAUUUGAGCUCAAACGGAUACUCUGGGAGCUCCGGCGAAAGAUAUCAGAUUUUAAGUUGCCUGGAGUGAAUAGUGUUUUUGGA
This 433-nucleotide long non-coding RNA is filed under the name Ananas comosus (pineapple). RNAcentral's name for it is "long non-coding RNA (ACOM_LNC039868)". The record is from RNAcentral. Lineage: Eukaryota; Viridiplantae; Streptophyta; Magnoliopsida; Poales; Bromeliaceae.